UAUAAAUGUAAAUUUUAUAACCAGGGUAGUAAUAGUUAUGAACUUCAAACCCAAAGAAUUUGGCGGUAUUUUAGUCCUUUCAGAGGAAUCUGUCCCGUAAUUGACAAUCCACGAGAUAAUUUACUUAUUUUUGUUUUCAGUUUGUAUACCUCCGUCAUAAGAAGAUCUUUUUAGAGUAGUAAUUUUCUUAAUAUAUAAAAUAUAAAAUGUCAGGUCAAGGUGCAAUUUAUGAAUAAGUGGUGAUGGAUUACAAUAAAAUUAUUUAAAUGGAUUAGAUUAAUUAAUUUUUCUAUGAAGGUGGAUUUGAUAGUAAUUUUGGUUAUUUACUUAUUUGAUUUUGGCUCUAAAAUAUGC
This 354-nucleotide ribosomal RNA is filed under the name Anisogomphus maacki. RNAcentral describes it as "partial 12S ribosomal RNA". The record is from RNAcentral. Lineage: Eukaryota; Metazoa; Arthropoda; Insecta; Odonata; Gomphidae.